GACGAACGCUGGCGGCGUGCUUAACACAUGCAAGUCGAACGAUGAAGCUGGAGCUUGCUCCGGUGGAUUAGUGGCGAACGGGUGAGUAACACGUGAGCAAUCUGCCCUUGACUCUGGGCUAACUGCGGGAAACUGUAGCUAAUACCGGAUACUUUCACUGGAAGGCAUCUUCUGGUGAAGAAAGAAUUUCGGUCAUGGAUGAGCUCGCGGCCUAUCAGCUUGUUGGUGAGGUAACGGCUCACCAAGGCGACGACGGGUAGCCGGCCUGAGAGGGUGCCCGGCCACACUGGGACUGAGACACGGCCCAGACUCCUACGGGAGGCAGCAGUGGGGAAUAUUGCACAAUGGGCGCAAGCCUGAUGCAGCAACGCCGCGUGAGGGAUGAAGGCCUUCGGGUUGUAAACCUCUUUUAGCAGGGAAGAAGCGAAAGUGACGGUACCUGCAGAAAAAGCACCGGCUAACUACGUGCCAGCCGCCGCCGUAA
Molecule: ribosomal RNA, 484 nt
Filed under: uncultured bacterium
Lineage: Bacteria
Description: partial 16S ribosomal RNA
Rfam family: Bacterial small subunit ribosomal RNA
Source: RNAcentral